This 429-nucleotide ribosomal RNA is filed under the name Chloroflexota bacterium. Its description in RNAcentral is "Chloroflexi bacterium partial 16S ribosomal RNA". It matches the Rfam family "Bacterial small subunit ribosomal RNA", at positions 355 to 776 of the family's 1533-position model. The record is from RNAcentral. Lineage: Bacteria; Bacillati; Chloroflexota.
UGGGGAAUAUUGCACAAUGGGCGCAAGCCUGAUGCAGCCAUGCCGCGUGUGUGAAGAAGGCCUUCGGGUUGUAAAGCACUUUCAGCGGGGAGGAAGGUGGUAAGGUUAAUAACCUUAUCAAUUGACGUUACCGACAGAAGAAGCACCGGCUAACUCCGUGCCAGCAGCCGCGGUAAUACGGAGGGUGCAAGCGUUAAUCGGAAUUACUGGGCGUAAAGCGCACGCAGGCGGUUGAUUGAGUCAGAUGUGAAAUCCCCGGGCUUAACCCGGGAAUUGCAUCUGAUACUGGUCAGCUAUAGUCUUGGAGAGGGGGGUAGAAUUCCAUGUGUAGCGGUGAAAUGCGUAGAGAUGUGGAGGAAUACCGGUGGCGAAGGCGGCCCCCUGGACAAAGACUGACGCUCAGGUGCGAAAGCGUGGGGAGCAAACAGG